This 451-nucleotide ribosomal RNA is filed under the name uncultured Pseudoalteromonas sp. RNAcentral's name for it is "bacterial SSU rRNA". It matches the Rfam family "Bacterial small subunit ribosomal RNA", at positions 1077 to 1532 of the family's 1533-position model. The record is from RNAcentral. Lineage: Bacteria; Pseudomonadati; Pseudomonadota; Gammaproteobacteria; Alteromonadales; Pseudoalteromonadaceae.
UGGGUAGUCCGCACGAGCGCACCCUAUCCUUAGUUGCUAGCAGGUAAUGCUGAGAACUCUAAGGAGACUGCCGGUGAUAAACCGGAGGAAGGUGGGGACGACGUCAAGUCAUCAUGGCCCUUACGUGUAGGGCUACACACGUGCUACAAUGGCGCAUACAGAGUGCUGCGAACCUGCGAAGGUAAGCGAAUCACUUAAAGUGCGUCGUAGUCCGGAUUGGAGUCUGCAACUCGACACCAUGAAGUCGGAAUCGCUAGUAAUCGCGUAUCAGAAUGACGCGGUGAAUACGUUCCCGGGCCUUGUACACACCGCCCGUCACACCAUGGGAGUGGGUUGCUCCAGAAGUAGAUAGUCUAACCCUCGGGAGGACGUUUACCACGGAGUGAUUCAUGACUGGGGUGAAGUCGUAACAAGGUAGCCCUAGGGGAACCUGGGGCUGGAUCACCUCCUU